AUAAUUUUCAAGGUUAAACGAGUUUUGGAAUAGGUAAAUCUCUUAUUUUGUUGAUUUUUGUGUGGUAUAGUGAACCAUUUUUUUUUGUGAUUCAAAAUUUCGAUGUUAUUUUAGUCAAAAAUUUUCAUGGACAUCUGUUAAGACGUUAACUAUGGAUCCAGGUGUCCCUGACAGUCAAAACGAUCCAUUUGCAAGGUCAAAUGAGCUCCAAAGCAGACUUAAGAUAUGGAGCUAGUUGGCCCAGAACGACCAAAAGGGUCCAUUUUCAAGGUCAAACAAGCCUUGGAGCAGGAAAUCUCCCAUUUUGUCGAUUUUUGUGGACUAUAGUUCACCAUCUUUUUUGGUAAUUUGGAAUUUGAACAUUAUUUUUGUCAAAUUUUUUUGUGGACGUUCAUUAUGACGUUAACUAUGAAGCCAAUUGGCCCUGAAGGCCAAAACAGUAUAUUUUCAAGGUCAAACGAGCCCUGGAGCAGACGUUAGCUGUGGAGCAGUUCGCCCUGACGACCAAAAUAGUCCAUUUAAAAGGUCAAAUUAAAGGAGCCCCGGAGCAGGUAAACCCUCUCCCUCAUUAUGUCGAUUUUCGUGUUGGUUCCCUCUGUAGGAAAUUGGUGGAGCAAUACAUAUAGUCUCACUAUUUUUAGAGUGAUAUGACGGAGAAAUAACUCCUAAUAGCCCAAAAUAUGAAGCUUCACGUAUUGUUCUCGCAACUCCAUAUAGAGGAUCUUGUAAUCAAUUUUCAAUAGUAAAAGUCCAUCAGUCACAUCACCAAAAUAUUUAUGAGCUAACUGUGCCAACAAACCCAAUAGCAUAGACGGAAUUCGGAAAGACAAUUAAAUUUAUAAAAUAUAUAUGUCAUUAAACAUUAUAAUUUAUAAAACUUUUCGCAUCAUUUUUCUUUAUCUCAAUUUACGUGGUACCAAAAAUUUCCGAAAGUAUUUAUAACUAUUGAAUUUCCAGAUUCAGGCAUUGUGUUGCUGUAUGUGGAAAGCUCUAAUUUAUGUUGGGAUAUUUUCUUCCUGUGGUGCUCGCUGCAGCGUACAAUGAAUGAUGAGCUAUAUUUGCAUCCAUCUUUUUUUUUUUUAAUUCUAUUUUUUGUUUAU
Solanum lycopersicum (tomato) is the source of this 1100-nucleotide non-coding RNA. The record is from RefSeq and is a predicted model, not a curated record. NCBI's taxonomy places the organism in Eukaryota, Viridiplantae, Streptophyta, Magnoliopsida, Solanales, Solanaceae.